RNAcentral lists this ribosomal RNA (497 nucleotides) under uncultured bacterium. RNAcentral describes it as "partial 16S ribosomal RNA". It matches the Rfam family "Bacterial small subunit ribosomal RNA", at positions 28 to 507 of the family's 1533-position model. The record is from RNAcentral.
GACGAACGCUGGCGGCGUGCCUAAUACAUGCAAGUUGAGCGCUGAAGGUUGGUACUUGUACCAACUGGAUGAGCAGCGAACGGGUGAGUAACGCGUGGGGAAUCUGCCUUUGAGCGGGGGACAACAUUUGGAAACGAAUGCUAAUACCGCAUAAAAACUUUAAACACAAGUUUUAAGUUUGAAAGAUGCAAUUGCAUCACUCAAAGAUGAUCCCGCGUUGUAUUAGCUAGUUGGUGAGGUAAAGGCUCACCAAGGCGAUGAUACAUAGCCGACCUGAGAGGGUGAUCGGCCACAUUGGGACUGAGACACGGCCCAAACGCCUACGGGAGGCAGCAGUAGGGAAACUUCGGCAAUGGACGAAAGUCUGACCGAGCAACGCCGCGUGAGUGAAGAGGGAUUUCGGAUCGUAAAACUCUGUUGGUAGAGAAGAACGUUGGUGAGAGUGGAAAGCUCAUCAAGUGACGGUAACUACCCAGAAAGGGACGGCUAACUACGUG